UGGGGUGUGGCUCAGUGGUAGAGCGUUAGCCCAGCCUGCGUGAGGCCCUGUGUUCCAUCCCCAGCACCACAC
Molecule: transfer RNA, 72 nt
Filed under: Marmota monax (woodchuck)
Lineage: Eukaryota; Metazoa; Chordata; Mammalia; Rodentia; Sciuridae
Description: tRNA.Ala
Source: RNAcentral